This 217-nucleotide ribosomal RNA is filed under the name uncultured bacterium. RNAcentral's name for it is "partial 16S ribosomal RNA". It matches the Rfam family "Bacterial small subunit ribosomal RNA", at positions 524 to 739 of the family's 1533-position model. The record is from RNAcentral.
UACGUAGGGUGCAAGCGUUGUCCGGAAUUAUUGGGCGUAAAGAGCUCGUAGGCGGUCUGUCGCGUCGGCUGUGAAAACUCGGGGCUCAACCCCGAGCCUGCAGUCGAUACGGGCAGACUAGAGUGCUGUAGGGGAGACUGGAAUUCCUGGUGUAGCGGUGGAAUGCGCAGAUAUCAGGAGGAACACCGGGUGGCGAAGGCGGGUCUCUGGGCAGUAA